AAUUAUAGGCCACGCAGCUAACUGCAGCUACAAAAGCAGCAUCAGAAGAUGGUUCUUUUUGAAGGAGCCUGAGGUGUGAAUGAAGACACAAGCACUGUUUUAGUUUUGGUGUUUUUUGUAUGAUGAU
Long non-coding RNA from Poecilia latipinna (sailfin molly), 127 nucleotides. RefSeq lists it as uncharacterized. The transcript has 3 exons. The record is from RefSeq and is a predicted model, not a curated record. NCBI's taxonomy places the organism in Eukaryota, Metazoa, Chordata, Actinopteri, Cyprinodontiformes, Poeciliidae.